AGUGAACGCUGGCGGUAGGCCUAACACAUGCAAGUCGAACGGCAGCACAGUAAGAGCUUGCUCUUACGGGUGGCGAGUGGCGGACGGGUGAGGAAUACAUCGGAAUCUACUUUUUCGUGGGGGAUAACGUAGGGAAACUUACGCUAAUACCGCAUACGACCUACGGGUGAAAGCAGGGGAUCUUCGGACCUUGCGCGAUUGAAUGAGCCGAUGUCGGAUUAGCUAGUUGGCGGGGUAAAGGCCCACCAAGGCGACGAUCCGUAGCUGGUCUGAGAGGAUGAUAAGCCACCCUGGAACUGAGACACGGUCCAGACUACUACGGGAGGCAGCAGUGGGGAAUAUUGGACAAUGGGCGCAAGCCUGAUCCAGCCAUACCGCGUGGGUAAAGAAGGCCUUCGGGUUGUAAAGCCCUUUUGUUGGGAAAGAAAAGCAGCAGGUUAAUACCCCGCUGUUCUGACGGUACCCAAAGAAUAAGCACCGGCUAACUUCGUG
Molecule: ribosomal RNA, 492 nt
Filed under: uncultured bacterium
Lineage: Bacteria
Description: partial 16S ribosomal RNA
Rfam family: Bacterial small subunit ribosomal RNA
Source: RNAcentral